CAUUCACGGAGAGUUUGAUCCUGGCUCAGGACGAACGCUGGCGGCGUGCUUAACACAUGCAAGUCGAACGAUGAAGCCCUUCGGGGUGGAUUAGUGGCGAACGGGUGAGUAACACGUGGGCAAUCUGCCCUGCACUCUGGGACAAGCCCUGGAAACGGGGUCUAAUACCGGAUAUGACCGUCCAUCGCAUGGUGGAUGGUGUAAAGCUCCGGCGGUGCAGGAUGAGCCCGCGGCCUAUCAGCUAGUUGGUGAGGUAGUGGCUCACCAAGGCGACGACGGGUAGCCGGCCUGAGAGGGCGACCGGCCACACUGGGACUGAGACACGGCCCAGACUCCUACGGGAGGCAGCAG
RNAcentral lists this ribosomal RNA (351 nucleotides) under Streptomyces sp. SID8014. RNAcentral's name for it is "bacterial SSU rRNA". It matches the Rfam family "Bacterial small subunit ribosomal RNA", at positions 1 to 354 of the family's 1533-position model. Lineage: Bacteria; Bacillati; Actinomycetota; Actinomycetes; Kitasatosporales; Streptomycetaceae. The record is from RNAcentral.